RNAcentral lists this long non-coding RNA (3198 nucleotides) under Solanum tuberosum (potato). Its description in RNAcentral is "long non-coding RNA (STUB_LNC009889)". The record is from RNAcentral. Lineage: Eukaryota; Viridiplantae; Streptophyta; Magnoliopsida; Solanales; Solanaceae.
UAAAUCCCAAAUAAUAAAUUCUUUCAAAUUUCUCUCUCAAGGUCUGCAAUUUCAAUCGAUAUCUAUCUAAGGUGGUUGAAGAUUCAAAAAUUCGCUGAAAAAUAUGUCUAUUCGAAUAGGUUUGUCUAUUUUAUCGAUCUUUUCUUUUUUGGAUUUAAAAGAAGAAAUUUUUUUUAUCGAUGAACAUUGAUUGUUUGAGAAUGAAAAUUUCCGAAAUCGAUUUUACCUAAUAUUGAUUGUUUUAUCGUGAGAUCUAUAACUUGGAGUAUUGGGCUUUGUUUGAGGAAUGGUGGUUAGUGUUAGAUAUUAAAAAAGGGCUUAGAUCUAGGGUGGAAAGAAGCCAUUUCCCUCUAAUUGUUUUAUUCGUAUGAACAAAUAAAUUUAGAGAACAAAAGUGCUUCUUUUUUUAAAUGUCCUUUCUGAUGCAUGUAUGAACACUUGUGUUUUUGGUAUGGUGAGUGAGAACACUCACAACUUAGAAAACAAAACUAUUUAUUUUCUUUAGUUUAUUAAAAGCUAUAAACUAGUCAUGUUCAAUCUUGCACAAUGAUUUUGUAUUUUUCCUUAAAGAGUAAAACAUAAGACAAUUGAACAGAGAAAGUAGAUAUAAGAAAAUUCAAAAUCAUGCACAUAAACUUUGAUAUUGAUCUAACGAAGACCAUUAGUCUUCUUGAGAUUUUCUUGGAUGACAAAGGAUACCUGAGGUUAGGCUAUAAUUAUGGAUUUUACUAUACAGUGAUUUGGUUAAAUUCAAACAAUAGGUGUUUUUAUUUUGUUCUUCCAUUCAGAAUUUUAUGGUUUUCAGGACUAUGUAACCAAUGUAGUGAAGGUAACACUGAUUGAAUAGGUUAAUUUACUAUUUUUAAGAAAAUAUUAAGUUGGAUUUUUUUUUUACUACGCAUUUAACUAUCUAUGAUGGUUGUCUUAGAAAAUGAAAGUACUUUAUGAGAACAUGCAGCUAGCUUAGAAAAUCUUAUUGCUAGAACUUUCUAAACAUGGAUAGAAAAAGAAAUUUCACUAUGGAUAUGCACAUUUGGAGAUUCUUGUAUUUCUUUAAUGUAUGUUCUCUUUAAGCAUUGCAGCUAGCUUAGAAAAUCUUAUUGCUAGAACUUGCUAAACAUUGAUAGAAAAAGAAAUUUCAAAAAAGAUAAAUAAGUAUUGACAUGAUUCAACUAUUAGAUUUUAAUAAUUAGUGCAUAUCUCAAUGAUGGUUUAAGAAGAAGAGCUCGUAUUUUAUUUACUUUAGCGUCCACAAUGAGAUGAGAAUAACGUGUUUCAAUGAAUAAAAAUAGCUUCCAUGAGCUUUAGCAUUGAGUCUGUGAGUUUGUCGUCCUUAAUUAUAGUCCUUUUAUUUUCUUCAUCUAUUCUUGUGUGUUUUUUUUCCCUUUAAUUAUAUUAAUUUAGCAUCCCUAUAUUUUACUUGUGGUGUUCACUGAUUUCAAUUUGUAUCAAUGUUCAACCUGCUGAACUUGUUUUAUUUAAUUGUGAAGGAUAGGGAUAGAUAUAAGAAUGACCUCUUUUGUAAGGCAAAUAUAUUGUUACAUUAUUGUUUUUUGAAGUGAUUAACUAAUAUAAUUGCAUUACUUCUGUACCUUUUGUUUUUCUAGAUUUUUCUUGGUAUAUAGCACAAAAGAGGAUCAAUUCCCCUCCAUAUAGGUCCAAAAAUACUUCAAAGAAGCAAUAUAAUACAAUUGAAAAAGCAAAAAAAAAAAAAUGAGAUUGUGGCUAAGUGCUUAGUUGUUUACAAGCUUUUCACAUCUCUCUUAAUUAUCGUUGUCGAACUUACUCAUAGACAAAGUUUAAAAGGAACAGAAGAAGAGGUAUUAUAUUGUCCGUAGUUGCUUCUUAUGUUUAAAAUUAUUAGUUUGUAACUUUGAUACUAGUUGUUUUCUACUUUUUUGUCUUAUGGUGUUACCUGAUAGCUAUAAACUUUUAUCACUACUUCAUUGAAAUGUAAGUGUGUUUCCUGCACCUUCUCUUUUACAGUUGAAAGGAUUGAGUUAAUUAUUGUGUUUAAUAUUUUACUUUCUUUCAUUAGUGUUGGUUGCAUCUUUGCUCGAGUAGAACUGGAUUGAGGAAAUCUUAUAUGAUUAAAUUUCUUCAAUGAACUAUGUUUCAAUGAACUGGAAUGAGUAUCUCUUAUCUUAACUCUUCUUUAUCUUAGCAUUUUUCUUCUACUACAGGCCCUAUGUUAUACUUGACUAGUUCCGAUUGAAAGAGCACUAAAUUUUUUAAGAUUUUCGAGGCAAGUACCUACUUCCCAGUGAUUUACUCUAGAACUUUUGACCUUACUGAUUUUUAAUUUUAUUUUGAUGUAUAACUUGAAACAACUAAAAAUUACUGUUUGAUCUUUUAAGAUAAAAAGACACGAUAAGAUAUACUUGCACAUCUUUUUAAUAUUUAAAGGAGCUAUAAGUACAACUUGCUUAUAUAAUGUGGAAAAUUAUAUAUGAAGUUUAAUAUUUCAAUACAAUAAUGAAUCAAUCACAUUACCCUGCUUCUUAUUGAUUCUUUUAAGAGUUUUUGAAAUGCAAAAGAAUCUCUUGUUGUCUCUAACUAAAAAAUAUAAUCACAUACUGAUGCUACAUAUUUUCUUUAGUAAGGUACAUAGAACAAGUGAAGUAUGUGUUAAUCCAAUUCAUAAGAUGUGAUACUUUUAGGAUUUGAAUAUGAGAAAAGAUUAAACAAUUUGAAAUCUUCAAUUUUUUUGAUGGAGGUCAUCGAAACCUACAUACUUUGAGGAUUUAUUCUAUAUUCUUCAGUUAAUCACUGUUAAAAUUUAGCAUAAAAUAUGCUGCUCCAUGUGUUGUGAAAAUUGAACUCCUCUUUGUAAGCACUUGCCAUUAGCUAAAUUAAAGUUGAACAUUAUUACGUCAAUGAAUUCUGCAUAAAGUAUCUAGGAUAAACAUGCUUGUGUAUCAUCAUGAUUGUGAACAAAUUAGCUCCCUUUAUUUUAAAAUUAAAUUAAGCACACAUUGGCUAAAUUUUAUGUCUUUCAUCAUUGCAGGUCCAUUAAGCAAAUGGAUUUCGUCAACACACAGCCGACUUUUUAGUGACGAUAAGUGUAAUAGAAGACAAUCUCAUACUCCACCUGAACUUUAUUACUUUCUAGACAAAUAUGGGCUUCUCUCCACUCGUAGAAGGUUGGAAUUUGCAUGAAGCUCAUCUCUCUUCCAUGGACAUAACAGAAAUUGGACC